RNAcentral lists this transfer RNA (77 nucleotides) under Ignavibacteria bacterium. RNAcentral describes it as "tRNA-Met". It matches the Rfam family "tRNA". Rfam says of the family: Transfer RNA (tRNA) molecules are approximately 80 nucleotides in length. Their secondary structure includes four short double-helical elements and three loops (D, anti-codon, and T loops). Lineage: Bacteria; Pseudomonadati; Ignavibacteriota; Ignavibacteria. The record is from RNAcentral.
GCCGGGAUAGCUCAGCUGGUUAGAGCGUCGGAAUCAUAAUCCGUAGGUCGGGGGUUCAAGUCCCUCUCCCGGUACCA